RNAcentral lists this ribosomal RNA (424 nucleotides) under uncultured bacterium. RNAcentral describes it as "bacterial SSU rRNA". It matches the Rfam family "Bacterial small subunit ribosomal RNA", at positions 207 to 622 of the family's 1533-position model. The record is from RNAcentral.
CAAGAYCUUGCGCUUUUGGAGCGGCCGAUGCCUGAHUAGCUAGBUNGUGGGGUAAAGGCCUACCAAGGCGUCGAUCAGUAGUUGGUCUGAGAGGACGACCAGCCACACUGGGACUGAGACACGGCCCAGACUCCUACGGGAGGCAGCAGUNGGGAAUUUUGGACAAUGGGCGCAAGCCUGAUCCAGCAAUGCCGCGUGAGUHAAGAAGGCCUUCGGGUUGUGAAGCUCUUUCAGUCGAGAAGAAAAGAUUACGACUAAHAAUCGUAAUUCAUGACGGUACCGACAGAAGAAGCACCGGCUAACUACGUGCCAGCAGCCGCGGUAAUACGUAGGGUGCGAGCNUUAAUCGGAAUUACUGGGCGUAAAGGGUGCGCAGGCGGCUUUGUAAGUCAGAUGUGAAAUCCCCGGGCUUAACCUGGGAACU